Molecule: non-coding RNA, 72 nt
Organism: Phrynosoma platyrhinos (Desert horned lizard)
Lineage: Eukaryota; Metazoa; Chordata; Lepidosauria; Squamata; Phrynosomatidae
Source: the annotation of a GenBank genome assembly
GACAGUGUGGUAUAGUGGUUUAAACAUUGGACUAGGACUCUGGAGACUAGAGUUCAAAUCCCUGACCAGCCA